This 1061-nucleotide ribosomal RNA is filed under the name Pezizomycotina sp. 'Rhizohypha limodori'. Its description in RNAcentral is "LSU rRNA". It matches the Rfam family "Eukaryotic large subunit ribosomal RNA", at positions 38 to 961 of the family's 3401-position model. Lineage: Eukaryota; Fungi; Ascomycota. The record is from RNAcentral.
GCAUAUCAAUAAGCGGAGGAAAAGAAACUAACAAGAUUCCCCUAGUAACGGCGAGUGAAGCGGGAUGAGCUCAAAUUUAAAAUCUGGCUGGUUUACUAGUCCGAAUUGUAGUUUAAAGAAGCGUUUUCGGUGGCAGCCUGGGUAUAAAUCCUUUGGAACAGGGUAUCAUAGAGGGUGAGAAUCCCGUCUUUGACUCAGUGCAUGCUACUAUGUGAUACGUUUUCAAAGAGUCGAGUUGUUUGGGAAUGCAGCUCAAAAUGGGUGGUAAAUUUCAUCUAAGGCUAAAUAUUGGCGAGAGACCGAUAGCGAACAAGUACCGUGAGGGAAAGAUGAAAAGAACUUUGAAAAGAGAGUUAAACAGUGCGUGAAAUUGUUGAAAGGGAAACGCUUGACACCAGUCAUGCGAGCGGAAAAUCAGUCUUUUGCAGUGGGGAGUUGUGUGGGUUCGGACCGCAAGGCCGGCCUGUGCUGCAUCUCUGCUGUAAGUGAUGCACUUUUUCGUUUGCAGGCCAACAUCAGUUUCUUCUGCUGGACAAAACUCUUGAGAAGGUAGCAGCUUUGGCUGUGUUAUAGCUCUUGAGCGAUACAGUGGAGGGGACUGAGGUUUUCGCAGCGCGUGCUCUCGGGCAAGGCUGAUUGGGUGCUAUGGGAUCGUUCGGUGUACAAUGCAUGCAUUUUGCGCCGUGUCUUUUCUAUACUCGCUCAACUCGGCUCUUCCGCGCUUAGGAUGUUGGCUUAAUGGUUUUAAUCGACCCGUCUUGAAACACGGACCAAGGAGUCUAACAUAUAUGCAAGUGUUUGGGUGGCAAACCCAUGCGCGUAAUGAAAGUGAACGUAGGUGCGAUCCGCAAGGUGCAGCAUCGACCGAUCUUGAUAUUUUUGGAUAGAUUUGAGUAAGAGCAUAUAUGCUGGGACCCGAAAGAUGGUGAACUAUGCCUGAAUAGGGUGAAGCCAGAGGAAACUCUGGUGGAGGCUCGUAGCGAUUCUGACGUGCAAAUCGAUCGUCAAAUUUGGGUAUAGGGGCGAAAGACUAAUCGAACCAUCUAGUAGCUGGUUCCUGC